AGAGUUUGAUCAUGGCUCAGGACGAACGCUGGCGGCGUGCUUAACACAUGCAAGUCGAACGAUGAUGCCCAGCUUGCUGGGUGGAUUAGUGGCGAACGGGUGAGUAACACGUGAGUAACCUGCCCCUGACUCUGGGAUAAGCGUUGGAAACGACGUCUAAUACUGGAUAUGACUGCCGGCCGCAUGGUCUGGUGGUGGAAAGAUUUUUUGGUUGGGGAUGGACUCGCGGCCUAUCAGCUUGUUGGUGAGGUAAUGGCUCACCAAGGCGACGACGGGUAGCCGGCCUGAGAGGGUGACCGGCCACACUGGGACUGAGACACGGCCCAGACUCCUACGGGAGGCAGCAGUGGGGAAUAUUGCACAAUGGGCGAAAGCCUGAUGCAGCAACGCCGCGUGAGGGAUGACGGCCUUCGGGUUGUAAACCUCUUUUAGUAGGGAAGAAGCGAAAGUGACGGUACCUGCAGAAAAAGCACCGGCUAACUACGUGCCAGCAGCCGCGGUAAUACGUAGGGUGCAAGCGUUGUCCGGAAUUAUUGGGCGUAAAGAGCUCGUAGGCGGUUUGUCGCGUCUGCUGUGAAAUCCCGAGGCUCAACCUCGGGCUUGCAGUGGGUACGGGCAGACUAGAGUGCGGUAGGGGAGAUUGGAAUUCCUGGUGUAGCGGUGGAAUGCGCAGAUAUCAGGAGGAACACCGAUGGCGAAGGCAGAUCUCUGGGCCGUAACUGACGCUGAGGAGCGAAAGCGUGGGGAGCGAACAGGAUUAGAUACCCUGGUAGUCCACGCCGUAAACGUUGGGCGCUAGAUGUAGGGACCUUUCCACGGUUUCUGUGUCGUAGCUAACGCAUUAAGCGCCCCGCCUGGGGAGUACGGCCGCAAGGCUAAAACUCAAAUGAAUUGACGG
RNAcentral lists this ribosomal RNA (898 nucleotides) under uncultured Curtobacterium sp. Its description in RNAcentral is "bacterial SSU rRNA". It matches the Rfam family "Bacterial small subunit ribosomal RNA", at positions 8 to 916 of the family's 1533-position model. The record is from RNAcentral. Lineage: Bacteria; Bacillati; Actinomycetota; Actinomycetes; Micrococcales; Microbacteriaceae.